UACGGAGGAUGCAAGCGUUAUCCGGAUUCAUUGGGUUUAAAGGGUGCGUAGGCGGUUUGGUAAGUCAGUGGUGAAAUCCCCGAGCUCAACUGUGGAACUGCCAUUGAUACUGCCAGUCUUGAAUUAUUAUGAAGUAAGCAGAAUAUGUCGUGUAGCGGUGAAAUGCUUAGAGAUUACAUAGAACACCAAUUGCGAAGGCAGCUUACUACACAUUAAUUGACGCUGAGGCACGAAAGCGUGGGGAUCAAAC
Molecule: ribosomal RNA, 250 nt
Filed under: uncultured Flavobacteriia bacterium
Lineage: Bacteria; Pseudomonadati; Bacteroidota; Flavobacteriia
Description: partial 16S ribosomal RNA
Rfam family: Bacterial small subunit ribosomal RNA
Source: RNAcentral